This 446-nucleotide long non-coding RNA is filed under the name Ceratitis capitata (Mediterranean fruit fly). Its description in RNAcentral is "uncharacterized LOC110118654, transcript variant X3". The record is from RNAcentral. Lineage: Eukaryota; Metazoa; Arthropoda; Insecta; Diptera; Tephritidae.
AUUUAAAAGUAAAUGAAAUUUAAGUGAAGGCAUUCUCAGGCUACAAGCUUAAACGAAUUUUCUUCAUGAUGUUCAUGUUUUUUGUUGUGUUGUAAUAAUUUUUUUUUACUUACGAAAUGGAGAUUUGAUGUCGUGAGGUGUCCGAUUGUGGAUCAGAGAGAAAUCAAUGUCCAAACGUUGAAAUUUUUGUGCGUGGUAAAAUGGAUUCCAGAGUAACUCUUUUUCGGGAAGUGAUUAAGAAAUCAAAUUAUUUGUCCAGAUACCUGAUUGACGCUGAAUGAGGAUUGUACAUCAGUCAGUCAGUCCUUACAUUCAUUAGAAUAUCUAAUUUGAACAAAAUAUAAAAACCAUAACAACUUGUGUCGAUUCUUUUAGUACGUACAUACAUAUAUACAUAUACAAUCAUAUGUAUAUACAAUCUAAAUAAAUAUACACACACGUAUGUA